RNAcentral lists this ribosomal RNA (1006 nucleotides) under Niphargus sp. 2 INM-2013. Its description in RNAcentral is "eukaryotic LSU rRNA". It matches the Rfam family "Eukaryotic large subunit ribosomal RNA", at positions 1327 to 2049 of the family's 3401-position model. The record is from RNAcentral. Lineage: Eukaryota; Metazoa; Arthropoda; Malacostraca; Amphipoda; Niphargidae.
GCUUCAGUACGACCAAGUCAGAACUAUAAGUCUCGAAGCCCCGACGAGUAGGGUGGCGUGCCGGUGAGCGUUGAAGGCCAAGACGUGAGUCAGGCUGGAGCCGCCGGUAGUGCAGAUCUUGGUGGUAGUAGCAAGUACUCUGGUGAACCAACCUGGAGCUGUGAGGUCUGGAUUAGGGUUCCAUGUCAACAGUGAUUGAACAUGGGUGAGUCGCACCUAAGCCAGCUGCGAAGGCAGUGACAUCCCGACAAAGGUGCAUAGGGGGUGUGCCCGGCGCUCGCGCACACACACUCGCAACACUCGCCUCCUCAGGAAAUGGUGACGCUUUUCAAUACGCUCAAGGGCGUUGUGUGGCAAGCAAAAAGGCCAGCAUUAGUUAGGGGCAAAAGGACUUACUAGUGGCAAGCAAAAAGGCCAGCACACGGAGGCGAUGAGCUUGUGUUGUUGUCAAUGCGUUUGAGAUGCGCACACUAUGCUGUCUGCGUUGGUUCUUUGUCCGGCGAAAGGGAAUGGGGACUUUGUUCCUUGACCGGUCCCGGCACCCUCGAUAGGCUUUGCCAUUCAAUGGUCCAUGCAAAUGGAACCAGGCCACAGCCGCCGGCAGUCGCCCGAGGAAGAGUUUUCUUUUCUGCUUAACGCACGAGAUCAUCCCUGGAAACAGUUCGGCUGGCGAAAGGGUGCCCCGCUGCGGCAGAGCGCCACGACUGUCGUGCGCGNCUCGGUGUACCUGCCGGUCCGUGAAAACGUGGUCCANGGGAUUGCACUUGUAAUCUACGAAACGCCCGACAAGUUCGGGACGGACCGUACCCUAUAUCCGCAUCUGGUCUCCAAGGUUCGUAGCCUCUGCAGAGUCAGACACAUGUAGGUAAGGGAAGUCGGCAAACUCGAUCCGUAACUUCGGGAAAAGGAUUGGCUCUGAGGGCCGAGCUGGGCCGGGCCUUGCCUGCAAAGCAGUACCUAUAGUGACCGGAGUUUAAUGGAGUGCGAGGGGCUCUAGUAGCUGCCU